Molecule: ribosomal RNA, 274 nt
Filed under: uncultured bacterium
Lineage: Bacteria
Description: partial 16S ribosomal RNA
Rfam family: Bacterial small subunit ribosomal RNA
Source: RNAcentral
AUACGGAGGGGGCGAGCGUUAAUCGGAAUUACUGGGCGUAAAGGGUGCGUAGGCGGUUUGAUAAGUCGGAUGUGAAAGCCCCGGGCUUAACCUGGGAAUGGCAUUCGAUACUGUCAGGCUAGAGUAUGUCAGAGGUUGGCGGAAUUCCUGGUGUAGCGGUGAAAUGCGUAGAUAUCAGGAGGAACACCAGUGGCGAAGGCGGCUAACUGGGGCAAUACUGACGCUGAGGCACGAAAGCGUGGGGAGCAAACAGGAUUAGAUACCCCAGUAGUCC